UACGUAGGGUGCAAGCGUUGUCCGGAAUUAUUGGGCGUAAAGAGCUCGUAGGCGGUCUGUCGCGUCUGCUGUGAAAACUCAGGGCUUAACCCUGAGCUUGCAGUGGGUACGGGCAGACUAGAGUGCGGUAGGGGAGACUGGAAUUCCUGGUGUAGCGGUGAAAUGCGCAGAUAUCAGGAGGAACACCGGUGGCGAAGGCGGGUCUCUGGGCCGUAACUGGACGCUGGAGGAGCGAAAGCAUGGGGAGCGAACAGG
RNAcentral lists this ribosomal RNA (255 nucleotides) under uncultured bacterium. Its description in RNAcentral is "partial 16S ribosomal RNA". It matches the Rfam family "Bacterial small subunit ribosomal RNA", at positions 524 to 776 of the family's 1533-position model. The record is from RNAcentral.